CCAAUAGCGUAUAUUAAAGUUGUUGUGGUUAAAAAGCUCGUAGUUGAACCUUGGGCCUGGCUGGCCGGUCCGCCUCACCGCGUGUACUGGUCCGGCCGGGCCUUUCCCUCUGUGGAACCCCAUGCCCUUCACUGGGUGUGGCGGGGAAACAGGACUUUUACUUUGAAAAAAUUAGAGUGCUCCAGGCCGGCCUAUUCUCGAAUACAUUAGCAUGGAAUAAUAGAAUAGGACGGGUGGUUCUUUUUUGUUGGUUUCUAGGACCGCCGUAAUGAUUAAUAGGGACAGUCGGGGGCAUCAGUAUUCAAUUGUCAGAGGUUAAAUUCUUGGAUUUAUUGAAGACUAACUACUGCGAAAGCAUUUGCCAAGGAUGUUUUCAUUAAUCAGGAACGAAAGUUAGGGGAUCGAAGACGAUCAGAUACCGUCGUAGUCUUAACCAUAAACUAUGCCGACUAGGGAUCGGACGAUGUUAUUUUUUGACUCGUUCGGCACCUUACG
This 495-nucleotide ribosomal RNA is filed under the name uncultured Glomeromycotina. RNAcentral's name for it is "partial small subunit ribosomal RNA". It matches the Rfam family "Eukaryotic small subunit ribosomal RNA", at positions 591 to 1092 of the family's 1831-position model. Lineage: Eukaryota; Fungi; Glomeromycota. The record is from RNAcentral.